GUUCAUAUAGUUUAGGCAAGAACAAUAGAUUUUCUUUCUAUGGGCCCUCAAAGAGGUAUGAAUU
RNAcentral lists this transfer RNA (64 nucleotides) under Ophioceres incipiens. Its description in RNAcentral is "tRNA-Glu". Lineage: Eukaryota; Metazoa; Echinodermata; Ophiuroidea; Amphilepidida; Ophiolepididae. The record is from RNAcentral.